Molecule: long non-coding RNA, 273 nt
Filed under: Physcomitrium patens
Lineage: Eukaryota; Viridiplantae; Streptophyta; Bryopsida; Funariales; Funariaceae
Description: long non-coding RNA (PPAT_LNC008689)
Source: RNAcentral
AUUCAAUAACCUUCAAUUCAAUUGUUAGAUCAAGCUUAAACUUAUAGCAUACACUCCAAAAAACUAUUCUUAUAAGUCUUCAAAAUUUGAAAUUUAGAUCAACUAUCAAACCUAUGAAAUUCUCCAAAACGUAAUACCAUUUUUAUUUUACAAAUUCUAGAAUCACCCAAAACAAUUGUGACUUUGCAAAGCUCUUACAAAGUCAUUACAUACUCAAAUCAUUCAAAAUAAAUGCCUAAAAAAACUUCUAUCAAGUCUGCUCUCAAAUCCCAC